GGAGUUGUGGCUCAGUGGUAGAGCACUUGCCUAGCAUGUGUGAGGCUCUGAGUUCGAUUCUCAGCACCA
Molecule: transfer RNA, 69 nt
Filed under: Urocitellus parryii (Arctic ground squirrel)
Lineage: Eukaryota; Metazoa; Chordata; Mammalia; Rodentia; Sciuridae
Also listed under: 1 other name
Description: Spermophilus parryii (Arctic ground squirrel) tRNA
Rfam family: tRNA
About the family: Transfer RNA (tRNA) molecules are approximately 80 nucleotides in length. Their secondary structure includes four short double-helical elements and three loops (D, anti-codon, and T loops).
Source: Rfam by way of RNAcentral